GACGAACGCUGGCGGCGUGCCUAAUACAUGCAAGUCGAACGCAGUGGGGACUGGUGAUUAACCCGUGGGUAACCUCCCCUCAGAGGGGAUAACACUUGGAAACAGGUGCUAAACCGAUACUGAUGGAUGGACCCGGGGUGCAUUAGCUAGUUGGUGAGGUAACGGCUCACCAAGGCCACGAUGCAUAGCCGGCCUGAGAGGGGGAUCGGCCACACUGGGACUGAGACACGGCCCAGACUCCUACGGGAGGCAGCAGUAGGGAAUAUUGGGCAAUGGGCGAAAGUCUGACCGAGCAACGCCGCGUGAGUGAAGAAGGUUUUCGGAUCGUAAAACUCUGUUGUUAGAGAAGCGGUAUCUAAACAGAAAGCCACGGCUAACUACGUGCCAGCAGCCGCGGUAAUAC
RNAcentral lists this ribosomal RNA (403 nucleotides) under uncultured bacterium. Its description in RNAcentral is "partial 16S ribosomal RNA". It matches the Rfam family "Bacterial small subunit ribosomal RNA", at positions 28 to 526 of the family's 1533-position model. The record is from RNAcentral.